AACUAACAUAAAUCAUAAAAAUGGAAUAUCAUAAGAAUUCUUUACCUUGCGAAGAAAGACGGUCGUAUACGAUAUACUUAACAAGUAAAUGGCUGUAGGUUCACAUAAAUGCCCAGGAGCAAGUAACCAAGCCAGCUAGCCUAGCGCAUCGUUCGCUUCAUGCCAGAUGCCAUUAGCCAAGACAAAUUGAAUUCCAUCAACCGUCUUCGUGAUUCGCACAGACAACGAAUUUAUAACGCUAGGUUGAGUGAGAGAUAUAGAGAAGAACCGAGUCCUAUGGUGUAGUAAGGAGAAUAUGUAUGGCAGAUGUCCGCUUGAUUCAACGUUAGAUUCCAGCUAGGACACCAAUUUAUAUUAUUUUUGUUUCAGCUUGAUGUUCUGUCGCUCGUCAUCGUCAUCAUGUUUGCUCGUUUCACAUUCGAAAUGUUCAUCUCUGUUCUUUUUCUUCUUUUAUACUUCUUUUACUCUACAAUUUGUGCUCUUCACAGAAAGUUUCUUGUUUUUUUUUUUCAACCAUCCAAAUGGAAUGGGCUAUAAGGACGUAGGACGACCUCAAGAGGAAUACUAGAAGUCACUUGAGGGAUAAUCAGAUUUUCCUUGUUCAUAUUCCAUAAGAAGCGCACUGAGGCACACAAGGCACAUUGAUGCAAAGAAAUCUCUUCAAUAAUGGAUUGUAAGUGGGUGGUGAAUGGUAUAUGGGUAUCAUCAACCCAACCCGCUGGACAUUGUACGUCAUUAUAACUCAGGCGAACAAAAUAAUUCGUUUUGAUUAGCAUAAUGGCAAAAAGGCUGCAAAUAUCUUUUUAGUC
Long non-coding RNA from Episyrphus balteatus (marmalade hoverfly), 809 nucleotides. RefSeq lists it as uncharacterized. The record is from RefSeq and is a predicted model, not a curated record. Lineage: Eukaryota; Metazoa; Arthropoda; Insecta; Diptera; Syrphidae. The transcript is spliced from 3 exons.